GCAAAGAUUGGCCACUUUCUUGGCUAUUCCCUGAGGCUGGGGGGGAGAGAGGCUGCAGAGCUUGAAACUGAGGUGCUCGGAUAACUCAUGGCGAGGAGGGCCACGGACCGUCUCGGUGAGUCUCCGGAGCAACUUGCGGAUGACAUGACGUGAUCCCGCCCGGCAAUGGAAGCCGAGCUGCAAAUUGAGAAGCGAGCCACAUAAAAUAUUUUUAACUGUUUGUAAAUUUGAGGGGAUUAAGCUCCGUGUCUGAGACGAGGAACGGACGUGCGCAGCAGAGACCCGGAGCACGAGAAGGUUUCGGAGGCUGGCAUUGCAAGUGCAUCCAACGGGUUUACUGAGAACAGGAUGAUAAAUCUGUUUUGGCUGCUGGGAGCUGCAGAGCCGGUUUUCACGCUGGCUCUCAUCACUGUAGUAUUGGAAACAUCCAUAAGCGAUGGAAAAUCCUAACCGCGAGAUCUUGACUUCUUGGAGAAUGAAAGGGCAGCUGAGCCUGGGCGAGGAUCUGUUAAUGAUGAUCCAGCAGGGCCCUUUUCAAAGUUGUCCCCUCUUUGAGCAUCUCCGGCCUGACUGAUCCUGGUGAAGCUGAUGGGUUUUUACCGUGGGGGCCAGCCCUUGCUUCUCUUGCUGCCAUCCCUCUGUCUCCGAGUGUAAGCCCGGGGGGCACCAGGCUUGGGCUCUUCUGCGCACCUCCAGCACCUGGGACUGAGCCUUGCUCUUUCAAGAAGCAAUACAGGGUGGAUUCAAGCGACUUGUUUUGAACAGGCCGUGGCAUGGACUGUCUGGGCAGCGCAGGUUUUUAGGGAGGAGACUGUUCGGUGGGAAGUCCUCCACGAAGCUGCCCGACAGUUCUCUGUCCCAGGAGGAGCGAGAAUAACAGGGAGGCCCGGCUGGUAUAGUGCCUUCUCCAUGUGGUCCAAGCUCCUCUUCCUGGUGGCACAUCGCAACCAGAGCCCUUGUGAGCCCUCGCUGCACCCCCAGCCCUCCUCUCUGCCUGCUUGCCAUCAGCACCAGCAUGGACGGAGCAUUUGCUAGUCACCUGCAGCUGCAGAAGAAACUCCAGAAGUGUCCCCAGGACCUACCAAAAUGGAAGUUGACUAGGAAAGCUCUGUGCACACCUAGGGCACUAUAGGAGUCCUUAAUUAUGAGUAGGCAGGUCAGUUUGAGUCACCUUCCCUUUUUAGCCCAGCCACCUUGGAGGGGCCCCUUGAGGCAUCCUAAUUGCUAACAGGAGCCUUCCCCGUGGAUGGGAAUUGCCCAGGGGGAUUGCAAGGGGGGGGGUGGCGUCUGUAUUCCUCAGCCC
Alligator sinensis (Chinese alligator) is the source of this 1303-nucleotide long non-coding RNA. RefSeq lists it as uncharacterized. The record is from RefSeq and is a predicted model, not a curated record. The transcript has 6 exons. NCBI's taxonomy places the organism in Eukaryota, Metazoa, Chordata, Crocodylia, Alligatoridae.